GCUAUGUCUAGGCUGAUCCCCGAAAACCCGUACACCCCUACGGGCUGGCAUAGCCGUCAGAAUUAGGGG
RNAcentral lists this non-coding RNA (69 nucleotides) under Shigella dysenteriae 1012. Its description in RNAcentral is "int-alpA RNA". It matches the Rfam family "int-alpA RNA". From Rfam's summary of the family: Acidobacteria (1 example), Planctomycetes (1 example), Proteobacteria. Environment (Lake Washington) The record is from Rfam by way of RNAcentral. Lineage: Bacteria; Pseudomonadati; Pseudomonadota; Gammaproteobacteria; Enterobacterales; Enterobacteriaceae.